UACAGAGGGUGCAAGCGUUAAUCGGAAUUACUGGGCGUAAAGCGUGCGCAGACGGUUGCGUAAGUCAGAUGUGUAAGCCCCGGGCUCAACCUGGGAAUGGCAUUUGAUACUCGAGGGCUUGAGUACGGGAGAGGAGAGUGGAAUCCCCAGUGUAGAGGUGAAAUUCGUAGAUAUUGGGAAGAACACCGGUGGCGAAGGCGGCUCUCUGGACCGUAACUGACGCUGAGGCGCGAAAGCGUGGGGAGCAAACAGG
RNAcentral lists this ribosomal RNA (253 nucleotides) under uncultured bacterium. Its description in RNAcentral is "partial 16S ribosomal RNA". It matches the Rfam family "Bacterial small subunit ribosomal RNA", at positions 524 to 776 of the family's 1533-position model. The record is from RNAcentral.